AUGAAAGAUAGGCUUGAUGCCCCACUGCAGUUGACUGCAUAUUUGCUGAAUCCACACUAUAGCUAUGUAGAUGGCGGCAUAUUUGAUUAUGUUUACAUCAAUACAACCUUUUAUUCUUGUGUGGAGACAUUCUAUCAUGGUGAUGAAAACAUGCAAGAAAAGGUUGUGAACUAUGAAAUAGGCAAGUUCCAAAGUAGAGAUGGAUCCUUUACAAAGAAGCUUGCUAGGACUUGCCAAAACUUUGACUACAAUCUUAUGGCUUGGUGGAGAAUGUAUGGAGGUGAGACACCAGGGCUGAAGUACAUGGCUAUGAAGAUCCUUUCUUUGACCUCAAGUUCUUCCGACUGUGAGAGAAAUUGGAGUUGUUUUGAGUCGAUACAUACCAAGAGAAGAAACUGACUUCCUACAGAUCGCCUCAAUCAGCUUGUGUAGAUCUAGUUCAACUCAAGGUUGUUAUCCAAGAAGAAAAAGAUCAAGCAGAGGAAGAACAUUGAUGUUCUCCUAAGUACUGAUGCAUCCGAAGCACAAGGCUUCUUGUCUGAGGGAUGAGAUGAUCAUGCUUUCAUGGUGUUUCCACAUGGAUAUGAGGGAGCAGAUGACAUACAUUGGAGUGUGGUUGGAGAUGCUAUGGGGUCCAGUGAACAACUUGAGCUUUGUCAAAGUGCGAGAGUUAGAGAUCUCCAUGAUAAAGAGUUUGAGUCAAACAAAGAAGAACUAGAGGAGACAGAUUUAGAGGAGGAGGAGGAGGAUAUAGAGUAUGAGGAUGAUGAAGAUGACGUGGUGAUUGGGCGCACUUAUGUGGAUGAUGACUGA
Molecule: ribosomal RNA, 813 nt
Filed under: Triticum aestivum (bread wheat)
Lineage: Eukaryota; Viridiplantae; Streptophyta; Magnoliopsida; Poales; Poaceae
Description: partial small subunit ribosomal RNA
Source: RNAcentral